Non-coding RNA from Pelobates cultripes (western spadefoot toad), 213 nucleotides. Lineage: Eukaryota; Metazoa; Chordata; Amphibia; Anura; Pelobatidae. The record is from the annotation of a GenBank genome assembly.
CUUGAAUGGCUGCUGUGCUAGAAAUAAACAAUAAAAAUGUUUCUCUAAAUGAGCAGUUUUGUCUUAAUGAUCACCUAAUAAAGGAUAAACAGAGACUUUGGCCUCAUCAAUAGCUGUAAGACUCCUGGCAGGGAUAGAGUACAGAUGUGAAGUGUAGUCAGCAAAUAAUGUAAUUAGGACUGUCCUCCCAGCAUAUAGACAUGUGAAGGUCAC